RNAcentral lists this long non-coding RNA (2998 nucleotides) under Lactuca sativa (garden lettuce). Its description in RNAcentral is "long non-coding RNA (LSAT_LNC005369)". Lineage: Eukaryota; Viridiplantae; Streptophyta; Magnoliopsida; Asterales; Asteraceae. The record is from RNAcentral.
ACAAAAUGCAUCAAGACUUGAUGCAGAGAUAUCACCAAAGAGCAAGGCAAGAGCACUAUGAGAUCAUCACGAACAUGAUCACCGCUAAGAUGGGAAGUGGAGAGUCUCUAACCUUGCACUUGCAAAAGAUGCAAAGAUAUGUUGAUUGUCUUCGCAAGUUAAAUGUUAACUUUGGGGAAGAUUUGGCAAUCGACAUCGUUCUUCACUCCUUGCCCUCGUUCUACAAAUAAUUUAGGAUGAUGUACUGGAUGAGCAAGGAAGAGGUCACUCUAAGUAAACUCCAAGGGCUCCUAAGGACUGUUGAGAGCAACCUCAAGGAUAAGUCUGUUGCAUUAACUCCCACUCCACCCGCUGCUCCUGUUCUCGCUAUUGGGCAAGAGAGGGGCAAGAAGAGGAAGGCUUCUUCAAAGAGCCACUACAAGGGAAAGUCCCAAGAUGGUUUCUCCUCUAGUGGGACCAAAGUUGGUCCUAUCAAGCCCAACUCAAACCCAAAGGAGGCAGAGUGCCACCACUGCUACAAAAUAGGGCAUUAGAAGAGAAGCUGCCCGGAAUAUCUGCAACCCAUCAAGGAUGGGAAGAUCAAGCCAUCUUUCGCAGGUAUUUACACAAUUAAAUCUAAUGAUUCAUCGCCUGCUGUUUCUUGGGUUCUUGAUAUAGGAUGUGGUUAUCACAUAUGUUCUGAUUUGCAGGGACUAAGAAGAAAUAGGGAUGUGGAGCGUGAAAGAAUAAGUCUGAUCAUGGGGAACAGAAGAUCGUCGCCUGUCACAUAUGUUCUGAUUUGCAGGGUCGUUAGCCGAACGGGUAGGAUAGGGCAAUCCUCUCUUCAUUAAUAAGUAUAAUGAAUCUAUGUAAAGUAACUAAACGCUUUUACAAAUUCCCAAUCCUAGUUACUUUAGGCAAAAGUGAAAUUGAUGCAAUCCCAUGAAAUUGCACUUUGCACGCUUUCUAAGAAAUUAGUGAAGCGUGUGUGGUUAACCGACACACUAAUUGGUUCUAAGCAAAGGUGGCAAAGGGUGACUCAUUGUUUGUCAUUGUUCGAUGAAGCGUGUGUGGUUUACCGGCACAUCGAAUAGGUGAUUGUAACAAUUAGGGCACCAUCUAGAUUUGCAUGGUUAUUCACACCCACUUUGUGAUCCUCGGCAUCCCAGUCACAAACGAGAGAGGCAUAUCGAGAUUUAAACAUGCCAAUGAAAAGUUCAAUCCAUCUCUAAGGAAAUUUAGGAAUUCUCAAUACAUUUAAAACUUGAGCAUUAUGUUUUUCAUGGUGAAGAAUUAGUGAAUCGUCAUUCACUCACCUCCAAAUUAUUUGAAUGUUGAAUUUCGGCAUCCCUUUUCUAAUGUGUAAAUAAUGUUGUUGGGUGCUAGCCCUAAUUUUCCAUUUCGGGUGUUUAAUUAGGGAUUUUAUUCUAAUCAAACCUUGUUCCUUUCUAUUUGUAGAUGUCUAACGUAAACAACGUUGUUGCCACCUCAUUCGCAUGAUUGCUCGCUAUCAGGACAAUGAUAUGCCCUCGACGAGAAGCUUGAAAAUAUCAAUCCGGAAAUCACUACUCCCGAAGAAAUGGCUGUCUUUGAGACCCAUGAGCGUGAUGCAUUGAAAUUCCAUUGCAUUAUGCUAGCCGCAAUGAAUCCCGAACUCCAAAAGUCCUAUGAGGACAUGUAUCCAUACAAAAUGCAUCAAGACUUGAUGCAGAGAUAUCACCAAAGAGCAAGGCAAGAGCACUAUGAGAUCAUCACGAACAUGAUCACCGCUAAGAUGGGAAGUGGAGAGUCUCUAACCUUGCACUUGCAAAAGAUGCAAAGAUAUGUUGAUUGUCUUCGCAAGUUAAAUGUUAACUUUGGGGAAGAUUUGGCAAUCGACAUCGUUCUUCACUCCUUGCCCUCGUUCUACAACCAAUUUAGGAUGAUGUACCGCAUGAACAAGGAAGAGGUCACCCUAAGUAAACUCCAAGGGCUCCUAAGGACUGUUGAGAGCAACCUCAAGGAUAAGUCUGUUGCAUUAACUCCCACUCCACCCGCUGCUCCUGUUUUCGCUAUUGGGCAAGAGAGGGGCAAGAAGAGGAAGGCUUCUUCAAAGAGCCACUACAAGGGAAAGUCCCAAGAUGGUUCCUCCUCUAGUGGGACCAAAGUUGGUCCUGUCAAGCCCAACUCAAACCCAAAGGAGGCAGAGUGCCACCACUGCUACAAAAUAGGGCAUUAGAAGAGAAGCUGCCCGGAAUAUCUGCAACCCAUCAAGGAUGGGAAGAUCAAGCCAUCUUUCGCAGGUAUUUACACAAUUAAAUCUAAUGAUUCAUCGCAUGCUAUUUCUUGGGUUCUUGAUAUAGGAUGUGGUUAUCACAUAUGUUCUGAUUUGCAGGGACUAAGAAGAAAUAGGGAUGUGGAGCGUGAAAGAAUAAGUCUGAUCAUGGGGAACAAAAGAUCGUCGCCUGUCACCAAGAUUGGAGUGUAUUCUCUAGUGCUUAGUAAUGGAUUAGGUUUAGAUUUAAAUAAUUGUUGCUAUUCGCCAGAUAUGGCAAGAAACAUCAUUUCAUUUCAUGGUUUGUUUAAACAAGGAUUUAGAUAUUCGUUUAAUAAUGAGAAUGGUUCGAUUUGUGCUUAUCUAAAUGGUGAUUUAUAUUUUGAAGCAUUGCCUUGUAAUGGAAUUUAUGAAACUGUCAUGGUUCAAGAUAACCUAGGAAAUGAUGUAUUGUGUAUGAAUUCUUCCAAUAGUAUGGAUAAAGCAUGCUUGUGGCAUUGUCGUCUUGGACAUGUCAACGAGAAGCGCAUAGCCCAGCUCCAAAAGGAUGGAGUGUUGGAGUCAGUCGACCUUAGGGAAGAUGACACGUGCGAGUCUUGUUUUCUUGGAAAGAUGACCAAGUCACCCUUCACUGGCACUUGUGAGAGGGGUGAGGGUUUAUUGGAUCUCAUAUACACCGACGUGUGUGGGCGCUUUAGACCCACCAUAAAGGAUGUGAACCGCUUCUAUGUGACUUUCACCGAUGAUUAUAGUAGAUAUGGGUAU